Molecule: ribosomal RNA, 467 nt
Filed under: uncultured bacterium
Lineage: Bacteria
Description: partial 16S ribosomal RNA
Rfam family: Bacterial small subunit ribosomal RNA
Source: RNAcentral
GACGAACGCUGGCGGCGUGCUUAACACAUGCAAGUCGAACGGAAAGGCCCUGCUUUUGUGGGGUGCUCGAGUGGCGAACGGGUGAGUAACACGUGAGUAACCUGCCCUUGACUUUGGGAUAACUUCAGGAAACUGGGGCUAAUACCGGAUAGGAGCUCCUGCUGCAUGGUGGGGGUUGGAAAGUUUCGGCGGUUGGGGAUGGACUCGCGGCUUAUCAGCUUGUUGGUGGGUAGUGGCUUACCAAGGCUUUGACGGGUAGCCGGCCUGAGAGGGUGACCGGCCACAUUGGGACUGAGAUACGGCCCAGACUCCUACGGGAGGCAGCAGUGGGGAAUAUUGCACAGUGGGCGGAAGCCUGAUGCAGCAACGCCGCGUGCGGGAUGACGGCCUUCGGGUUGUAAACCGCUUUCGCCUGUGACGAAGCGUGAGUGACGGUAAUGGGUAAAGAAGCACCGGCUAACUACGUG